AUUAAUGAUUAUAUGAAAUGAAUAAACUAUAGUUAAUACGUAAUGUUGUCUUUUUCAUCUGGGCACACGCCAUUAUUAUCAAGGGUACAGCUUAAUUAAUCCUUGUGCAACCAACCA
Haliotis rubra (blacklip abalone) is the source of this 117-nucleotide long non-coding RNA. RefSeq lists it as uncharacterized. The transcript has 3 exons. NCBI's taxonomy places the organism in Eukaryota, Metazoa, Mollusca, Gastropoda, Lepetellida, Haliotidae. The record is from RefSeq and is a predicted model, not a curated record.